AGAGUUUGAUCCUGGCUCAGAGCGAACGCUGGCGGCGUGCUUAACACAUGCAAGUCGAACGGGUGUAGCAAUACACUCGUGGCGAACGGGUGCGUAACACGUGGAUAACCUUCCUUGAGGUGGGGAAUAACCCAGUGAAAAUUGGGCUAAUACCGCAUAACACAGCGAUGGCACAUGCUGAUGCUGUCAAAGGAGCAAUUCGCCACAAGAGGGAUCCGCGGCCGAUUAGCUAGUUGGUGAGGUAACGGCUCACCAAGGCAAUGAUCGGUAGCCGGACUGAGAGGUUGACCGGCCACACUGGAACUGAGACACGGUCCAGACUCCUACGGGAGGCAGCAGUGGGGAAUCUUGCACAAUGGGCGAAAGCCUGAUGCAGCAACGCCGCGUGGGGGAUGAAGCUUCUCGGAGUGUAAACCCCUUUCGACCCGGACGAAUGCCCGCAAGGGCUUGACGGUACGGGUAUAAGAAGCCCCGGCUAACUACGUGCCAGCAGCCGCGGUAAGACGUAGGGGGCCAGCGUUGCUCGGAAUUACUGGGCGUAAAGGGUCCGUAGGCGGUGCGGUAAGUCGGGAGUGAAAUCUCUGGGCUUAACUCAGAGGCUGCUUCCGAAACUACCGUGCUCGAGUGCGAGAGAGGCAAGUGGAAUUGCGGGUGUAGCGGUGAAAUGCGUAGAUAUCCGCAGGAACAUCCGAGGCGAAAGCGGCUUGCUGGAUCGCAACUGACGCUGAGGGACGAAAGCUAGGGGAGCAAACAGGAUUAGAUACCCUGGUAGUCCUAGCCCUAAACCAUCACGACUUGGGGUUUGUCCUGUACGGGGCAAGUCCCGGAGCUAACGCGUUAAGUCGUGCGCCUGGGGAGUACGGUCGCAAGACUGAAACUCAAAGGAAUUGACGGGGGCCCGCACAAGCGGUGGAACAUGUGGUUCAAUUCGACGCAACGCGAAGAACCUUACCUGGGCUUGAACCGCACAGGACCCUCCCUGGAAACAGGGACUUCCCGCAAGGG
RNAcentral lists this ribosomal RNA (1005 nucleotides) under uncultured bacterium. RNAcentral describes it as "bacterial SSU rRNA". It matches the Rfam family "Bacterial small subunit ribosomal RNA", at positions 8 to 1025 of the family's 1533-position model. The record is from RNAcentral.